RNAcentral lists this ribosomal RNA (253 nucleotides) under uncultured bacterium. RNAcentral describes it as "partial 16S ribosomal RNA". It matches the Rfam family "Bacterial small subunit ribosomal RNA", at positions 524 to 776 of the family's 1533-position model. The record is from RNAcentral.
UACGGAGGGGGCUAGCGUUGUUCGGAAUUACUGGGCGUAAAGCGCGCGUAGGCGGCUUUGUAAGUUAGAGGUGAAAGCCCGGAGCUCAACUCCGGAACUGCCUUUAAGACUGCAUCGCUAGAACGUCGGAGAGGUAAGUGGAAUUCCGAGUGUAGAGGUGAAAUUCGUAGAUAUUCGGAAGAACACCAGUGGCGAAGGCGGCCAGCUGGGCCGUCCCUGACGCUGAGGCGCGAAGGCGUGGGGAGCGAACGGG